GACGAACGCUGGCGGCGUGCUUAACACAUGCAAGUCGAACGGUAAGGCCCUUCGGGGUACACGAGUGGCGAACGGGUGAGUAACACGUGGGUGAUCUGCCCUGCACUUCGGGAUAAGCCUGGGAAACUGGGUCUAAUACCGGAUAGGACCACUGCCUGCAUGGGUGGUGGUGGAAAGCUUUUGCGGUGUGGGAUGGGCCCGCGGCCUAUCAGCUUGUCGGUGGGGUGAUGGCCCACCAAGGCGACGACGGGUAGCCGGCCUGGAGAGGGUGACCGGCCACACUGGGACUGAGAUACGGCCCAGACUCCUACGGGAGGCAGCAGUGGGGAAUAUUGCACAAUGGGCGCAAGCCUGAUGCAGCGACGCCGCGUGAGGGAUGACGGCCUUCGGGUUGUAAACCUCUUUCAGCACCGACGAAGCGCAAGUGACGGUAGGUGCAGAAGAAGGACCGGCCAACUACGUGCCAGCCGCCGCCGUAA
RNAcentral lists this ribosomal RNA (479 nucleotides) under uncultured bacterium. RNAcentral describes it as "partial 16S ribosomal RNA". It matches the Rfam family "Bacterial small subunit ribosomal RNA", at positions 28 to 523 of the family's 1533-position model. The record is from RNAcentral.